GAAUUCAGCCCUUCUUGGGGCGUUUCCUCCCUGGACUUGGGCCGCCUGCACGCUACGUGCGGGCGGCUUCUUUCUGUGGA
This 80-nucleotide small RNA is filed under the name Bradyrhizobium sp. ORS 278. RNAcentral's name for it is "Makes More Granules Regulator RNA (mmgR)". It matches the Rfam family "Makes More Granules Regulator RNA (mmgR)". From Rfam's summary of the family: SuhB later renamed mmgR (makes more granules regulator) was a putative non-coding RNA found multiple times in the Agrobacterium tumefaciens genome and related alpha-proteobacteria. Lineage: Bacteria; Pseudomonadati; Pseudomonadota; Alphaproteobacteria; Hyphomicrobiales; Nitrobacteraceae. The record is from Rfam by way of RNAcentral.